UUUUUUCUUUCGCUUUUUUCCUCACCGUGAGAAUAAAGGGUAUGCAGAGUGCCAUGUAGGGGAUAAGGGUUGUAUUGCAUGAGUAGUAGUAGUAGUAGUAGUAGUAGUAGUAGUAGUAGUGGUAGUAGAAAUAGUAGUAGUAGUUGUAGUAGUAGGAGUAGUCAGAAUAAUGGUAGUAUUUAUAAUGAGCGUUUUAGAUAUAUAAGUUACACACACACACACACACACACACUAUAAUUAUGCUUCAUCCCUGUUUCGAUUACGCACGUUCGAGACCUCAAAUAGCUUCGUUUAUUACCUUAUAUGAAGCUCGCUCGUCUCUUGUUAGUUUUUUUUUCUAUUAUGUCGCGCUUUAACUGUUUUCAUAUUAUAUAAUAACAGUAUAUAUUUCAUGAAAGUUGGACAGUUUUGUUUAGUCGGCGCGACAUCUGUGGUCAUAUGCCGGAGAGAGACAGAAGGGGAAGGAAUUAUAGGAGAAGGAAACAGAGCCCAGGAGACGGGACACGACCCCCGAUUAAUACCUGGUACCCAUUCACUCAUUCACUGCUGGGUGGACAGGGGCGUAGGGUAUAUAUAUUUCACGAUUAGUUCUUAUUUGGCUGCUUGAGCACUUUAUAUUAGCUUCUGUUAUUAUUUCCCAUAAAAAAGGUUAAAAAAUCCCCUCUGCCCCUUGGCGCUAGGACUCACAAAUUGCGAUUCACACUUGCAAACUUACCUCUUCCAACUUUAUCGUAAUUUUCUCAUUUUUCUCUCACAACUAGUCGGGUCUUCGUGGUCGGGUUUUCAUGAUUGUCUCACGUGUAUGGCGCAGAAACCUUGUCAAACUCUCACUUUCGUAUAAUUUUGUUUCUUCAUUUUUCAUUGACGGGCGUAGCUGCGUAGUUAGGCUAAUAAAAAAAGGGGGAAAAACGGAACAGAGGGGUAAAUAUACAGUUCUAUGAGAAGAACGAGCGAAGCAGUACCGGAUAGCUUUAGAGAGGAGGUUCGGAGUGGAAGGGGAGGGAGUUGAGGCAGGCAGGGCAAGCGAGGAGGGAAGGGAUAGGACAGGUCGCGGGCACUCAGACUGAGGGCGGCGUGGCGGAAGGAUUAACCAGCACCUUGCGGUAAGAGUGAUGGUCGUCGGCCCGUCCGUGGUUGUCCGUGGGUCGUCUCCUCUGCUGCGCUUCAUUCUGGAUCAGAUGGUCGACCUAACAGAUGAGUAUAUUCGUGACUUAAGAACUAGAUUUUCUUAUGCGACCUGGUUAGAACAAUUCCGUGUAAGGGUUGAGGCACACUAUCAGGACACCUCUCCUCCCGAAAUUGACCUUUCUUUCGGCAAAUUCUCUUUUUAUUAGCAGUAUCGGGCUUUUUUUUAACUUUUUACCUUUUUUAUGCCUUUGAACUGACUCCUCUGCUGUAGAAAAAAAGAAAAAAACUAAAUUUAAUUCUUCCUAAAUCUGUGUUUUUAAGUAUCAAACCUUCCACUAAUUACGAUGUCUUCAUUAUUGAUCUCAUUCUCGUGCUGUGAAAAGAUUUUUGCCUCUGUUACCCAAAACUAUAUUGUUCACCGGUGACUGAAGGCAGCCACUGUGUAAUCUAGUCUUACACCCGUGUUCUUUGUAAAUCAGUAUCUUCGGUUAUGAGUAGUUUCCUCGUUUGCACAUAAUGGUAUUAAUUUGGUCAUUAUUUGAGUAGGGCAGUCAAUCUGUGAAAUGCUGUUGAAGUCAAUGUCAGUAUUUGUUUUCGGAAGGGGAAGCUCGUUUAUGACGUAAUAUUUAACCAUUUUAUUUAUACUGUAAAUUCCUCACAAUACCAGACUAGCCAUUUUUUUAUCUGCUUCUUUCUCCGUUACAGGUGAAGUGGACUACAGUGGAGAGGACACAAACAACCCCGGCGCCCUGACACUGCCGUAGUCCUGUUGCCUCCACCAGCCAGGAUGUUCGUCGUCCGCCUGUUGCUUCCACUGCUGAGUAAAUGAUGUUCGGGUCCGGCGCUCCUCCAUUCCUCGGCGUGGGUGGGCCGCCUUCCGAAACUUCAGUUGUCAGACUCGUGUGCCGCAGUGUUGUGGUUGAUGAGCGUCUGUUUCUUAAGAGUUCGAGAGACUCCCCCAUUUUUAGUUUUUUUUUUUUUUAUAAAUAUUUUUUUGGCCGGAGUUGUAUAGUUUUCUCCGGAGGGUCUUCGAAGUAAAAUAUAUAUACUA
Molecule: long non-coding RNA, 2179 nt
Organism: Eriocheir sinensis (Chinese mitten crab)
Lineage: Eukaryota; Metazoa; Arthropoda; Malacostraca; Decapoda; Varunidae
Exons: 2
Source: RefSeq, a predicted model, not a curated record